This 23-nucleotide microRNA is filed under the name Drosophila simulans. RNAcentral's name for it is "dsi-miR-983a-5p". Its record names the gene dsi-miR-983a-5p. Lineage: Eukaryota; Metazoa; Arthropoda; Insecta; Diptera; Drosophilidae. The record is from miRBase by way of RNAcentral.
AGUAAUACCUUUCGAACACAUGA